This 281-nucleotide ribosomal RNA is filed under the name Eotrioza ussuriensis. RNAcentral's name for it is "partial 12S ribosomal RNA". Lineage: Eukaryota; Metazoa; Arthropoda; Insecta; Hemiptera; Triozidae. The record is from RNAcentral.
GAGUAGUAAAAGUUAAGAUCUCGAAACUCAAAAAAUUUGGCGGUACUUUAUCUUAUCAGAGGAACCUGUUUAUUAAUUGAUAUUCCACAAUAAACUUACUUUUAUUAUAAUACUUGUAUACCGCUGUCAUGAGUAUAUUAAAAAAUUUAUGUUCUCUUUUAUGAAGUUUAUGUUAGGUCAAGGUGCAGUUUAUAAAGAAAAAUGGGUUACAUUAAAAGAAUGAAGAAAAGGGAUUUGGAAGUAAGAGUGUAGAAAUAGAUGAAUAUAGAUUCUAAAGUAUG